GACGAACGCUGGCGGCGUGCCUAAUACAUGCAAGUAGAACGCUGAAGGAAGGAGCUUGCUCUUUCUGGAUGAGUUGCGAACGGGUGAGUAACGCGUAGGUAACCUGCCUGGUAGCGGGGGAUAACUAUUGGAAACGAUAGCUAAUACCGCAUAAAAUUGAUUAUUGCAUGAUAGUCAAUUAAAAGGUGCAACUGCACCACUACCAGAUGGACCUGCGUUGUAUUAGCUAGUUGGUGGGGUAACGGCUCACCAAGGCGACGAUACAUAGCCGACCUGAGAGGGUGAUCGGCCACACUGGGACUGAGACACGGCCCAGACUCCUACGGGAGGCAGCAGUAGGGAAUCUUCGGCAAUGGACGGAAGUCUGACCGAGCAACGCCGCGUGAGUGAAGAAGGUUUUCGGAUCGUAAAGCUCUGUUGUAAGAGAAGAACGAGUGUGAGAGUGGAAAGUUCACACUGUGACGGUAUCUUACCAGAAGGGGACGGCUAACUACGUG
RNAcentral lists this ribosomal RNA (497 nucleotides) under uncultured bacterium. RNAcentral describes it as "partial 16S ribosomal RNA". It matches the Rfam family "Bacterial small subunit ribosomal RNA", at positions 28 to 507 of the family's 1533-position model. The record is from RNAcentral.